This 204-nucleotide ribosomal RNA is filed under the name Staphylococcus aureus. RNAcentral describes it as "partial 16S ribosomal RNA". It matches the Rfam family "Bacterial small subunit ribosomal RNA", at positions 1 to 199 of the family's 1533-position model. The record is from RNAcentral. Lineage: Bacteria; Bacillati; Bacillota; Bacilli; Caryophanales; Staphylococcaceae.
UUUAUGGAGAGUUUGAUCCUGGCUCAGGAUGAACGCUGGCGGCGUGCCUAAUACAUGCAAGUCGAGCGAACGGACGAGAAGUUUGCUUCUCUGAUGUUAGCGGCGGACGGGUGAGUAACACGUGGAUAACCUACCUAUAAGACUGGGAUAACUUCGGGAAACCGGAGCUAAUACCGGAUAAUAUUUUGAACCGCAUGGUUCAAA